RNAcentral lists this ribosomal RNA (305 nucleotides) under uncultured bacterium. RNAcentral describes it as "bacterial SSU rRNA". It matches the Rfam family "Bacterial small subunit ribosomal RNA", at positions 333 to 655 of the family's 1533-position model. The record is from RNAcentral.
CGACUCCUACGGGACGCAGCAGUGGGGGAUAUUGCACAAUGGGGGGAACCCUGAUGCAGCGACGCCGCGUGAGCGAAGAAGUACCUCGGUAUGUAAAGCUCUAUCAGCAGGGAAGAAAAUGACGGUACCUGACUAAGAAGCCCCGGCUAACUACGUGCCAGCAGCCGCGGUAAUACGUAGGGGGCAAGCGUUAUCCGGAUUUACUGGGUGUAAAGGGAGCGUAGACGGUGCAGCAAGUCUGAUGUGAAAGGUCGGGGCCCAACCCCGGGACUGCAUUGGAAACUGUUGAACUGGAGUACAGGAGA